UGGGGAAUAUUGGACAAUGGGCGCAAGCCUGAUCCAGCCAUGCCGCGUGAGUGAUGAAGGCCUUAGGGUUGUAAAGCUCUUCACCGGUGAAGAUAAUGACGGUAACCGGAGAAGAAGCCCCGGCUAACUUCGUGCCAGCAGCCGCGGUAAUACGAAGGGGGCGUAGCGUUGUUCGGAUUUACUGGGCGUAAAGCGCACGUAGGCGGAUCGAUCAGUCAGGGGUGAAAUCCCAGGGCUCAACCCUGGAACUGCCUUUGAUACUGUCGAUCUGGAGUAUGGAAGAGGUGAGUGGAAUUCCGAGUGUAGAGGUGAAAUUCGUAGAUAUUCGGAGGAACACCAGUGGCGAAGGCGGCUCACUGGUCCAUUACUGACGCUGAGGUGCGAAAGCGUGGGGAGCAAACAGGAUUAGAUACCC
This 415-nucleotide ribosomal RNA is filed under the name uncultured bacterium. RNAcentral describes it as "bacterial SSU rRNA". It matches the Rfam family "Bacterial small subunit ribosomal RNA", at positions 355 to 787 of the family's 1533-position model. The record is from RNAcentral.